GACGAACGCUGGCGGCGUGCUUAACACAUGCAAGUCGAACGGAAAGGCCCUUCGGGGUACUCGAGUGGCGAACGGGUGAGUAACACGUGGGUGAUCUGCCCUGCACUUUGGGAUAAGCCUGGGAAACUGGGUCUAAUACCGAAUAGGACCACGCGCUUCAUGGGGUGUGGGGGAAAGCUUUUGCGGUGUGGGAUGGGCCCGCGGCCUAUCAGCUUGUUGGUGGGGUAAUGGCCUACCAAGGCGACGACGGGUAGCCGGCCUGAGAGGGUGACCGGCCACACUGGGACUGAGAUACGGCCCAGACUCCUACGGGAGGCAGCAGUGGGGAAUAUUGCACAAUGGGCGCAAGCCUGAUGCAGCGACGCCGCGUGAGGGAUGACGGCCUUCGGGUUGUAAACCUCUUUCAAUAGGGACGAAGCGCAAGUGACGGUACCUAUAGAAGAAGCACCGGCCAACUACGUG
This 462-nucleotide ribosomal RNA is filed under the name uncultured bacterium. RNAcentral's name for it is "partial 16S ribosomal RNA". It matches the Rfam family "Bacterial small subunit ribosomal RNA", at positions 28 to 507 of the family's 1533-position model. The record is from RNAcentral.